AAAUUUUUAUGUUUUAGAAAAUUUAUUAUGUGUUUAUUUUACAUAUAAAUUUUAGUAUGAAAUUUUAAUUAUUUAAAUAAUAUUAAUAAAAAUUAUAGUAAUUAAAAUUAAAAAUUUAAGAGAUUAAGAUUUAGUAAUAUAAAAAUUAAUAACUAAUUUUGUGCCAGCAGUUGCGGUUAUACAAAAAUUAAAUUAAAUUAUUUCAGUAUUUAAUAAAUAAAAUAAAAUUAAAAUAAAUAUUAAAUUAUUGGGUAAAAUUUUAAUUUAGUUAAAUUUUAAGUUAAUUUUAUGAUUUAAUAAAUUUAAUAAUAAACUAGGAUUAGAUACCCUAUUAUUAAAAAUUUAAUUUAAAAUACUAAAAUAGUAGAUAAUAAAUAUUGAAACUUAAAUAAUAUGGCGGUAUUUUAGUUCAUUUAGAGGAAUCUGUCUAAUAAUUGAUAAUCCACGAAUAAAUUUACUUAAUUUAGUAUUUUAUAUAUCGUUGUUAAAAAAAUAUUUUAUAAUAAAAAUAAUAUUUGAAAAUUUUUAAAAUAAAUUAAUUCAGAUCAAGAUGUAGAUUAUAAUUAAGAAUAUGAUGGAUUACAAUAAAAUAAUUUAUAAUGAAUAAUUUAAUUUUAAAAUUAAUUUAAAGGUGGAUUUAAAUGUAAUUUUAAUUAAUUUAUUAAAAUGAUUAAAAAUUGGGAUAUGUACAUAUUGCCCGUCACUUUCAUUUUAAAAUUGAAAUAAGUCGUAACAAAGUAGAAGUACUGGAAAGUGUUUCUAGAAUGAA
This 769-nucleotide non-coding RNA is filed under the name Lethe uemurai. The record is from RNAcentral. Lineage: Eukaryota; Metazoa; Arthropoda; Insecta; Lepidoptera; Nymphalidae.